AUUGAACGCUGGCGGCAGGCCUAACACAUGCAAGUCGAGCGGAGCGGCGGACGGGCGAGUAAUGCCUAGGAAUCUGCCUGGCAGUGGGGGAGAACGUCCGGAAACGGGCGCUAAUAACGCAUGCUAUCUAAUGAGUCUAGGCCUGAGUGGCUAGUUGGUGGGGUAAUGGCUGACCAAGGCGACGAUCCGUAACUGGCCUGAGAGGAUGAUCAGUCACACUGGAACUGAGACACGGUCCAGACUCCUACGGGAGGCAGCGGUGGGGAAUAUUGGGCAAUGGGCGAAAGCCUGAUCCAGCCAGGCCGCGUGUGUGAAGAAGGUCUUCGGAUUGUAAAGCACUUUAAGUUGGGAGGCGUUACCUAAAGAAUAAGCAACGGCUAACUUCGUGCCAGCAGCCGCGGUAAUAC
RNAcentral lists this ribosomal RNA (407 nucleotides) under uncultured bacterium. RNAcentral describes it as "partial 16S ribosomal RNA". It matches the Rfam family "Bacterial small subunit ribosomal RNA", at positions 30 to 526 of the family's 1533-position model. The record is from RNAcentral.